RNAcentral lists this ribosomal RNA (254 nucleotides) under uncultured bacterium. Its description in RNAcentral is "partial 16S ribosomal RNA". It matches the Rfam family "Bacterial small subunit ribosomal RNA", at positions 524 to 776 of the family's 1533-position model. The record is from RNAcentral.
UACGUAGGGUGCGAGCGUUGUCCGGAAUUAUUGGGCGUAAAGAGCUCGUAGGCGGUGUGUCGCGUCGGUCGUGAAAACUUGGGGCUUAACUCUGAGCUUGCGGUCGAUACGGGCAUCACUUGAGUUCGGCAGGGGAGACUGGAAUUCCUGGUGUAGCGGUGAAAUGCGCAGAUAUCAGGAAGAACACCCGUGGCGAAGGCGGCUCUCUGGGACGGUACUGACGCUGAGACGCGAAAGCGUGGGGAGCGAACAGG